Molecule: ribosomal RNA, 301 nt
Filed under: uncultured bacterium
Lineage: Bacteria
Description: partial 16S ribosomal RNA
Rfam family: Bacterial small subunit ribosomal RNA
Source: RNAcentral
CAGUCGCCACGGUAAUACGAAGGGUGCAAGCGUUAAUCGGAAUUACUGGGCGUAAAGCGCGCGUAGGUGGUUUGGUAAGAUGGAUGUGAAAUCCCCGGGCUCAACCUGGGAACUGCAUCCAUAACUGCCUGACUAGAGUACGGUAGAGGGUGGUGGAAUUUCCUGUGUAGCGGUGAAAUGCGUAGAUAUAGGAAGGAACACCAGUGGCGAAGGCGACCACCUGGACUGAUACUGACACUGAGGUGCGAAAGCGUGGGGAGCAAACAGGAUUAGAUACCCCUGUAGUCCCUGUCUCUUAUAC